RNAcentral lists this transfer RNA (82 nucleotides) under Deltaproteobacteria bacterium. RNAcentral describes it as "tRNA-Leu". It matches the Rfam family "tRNA". Rfam says of the family: Transfer RNA (tRNA) molecules are approximately 80 nucleotides in length. Their secondary structure includes four short double-helical elements and three loops (D, anti-codon, and T loops). Further hydrogen bonds mediate the characteristic L-shaped molecular structure. tRNAs have two regions of fundamental functional importance: the anti-codon, which is responsible for specific mRNA codon recognition, and the 3' end, to which the tRNAs corresponding amino acid is attached (by aminoacyl-tRNA synthetases). tRNAs cope with the degeneracy of the genetic code in two manners: having more than one tRNA (with a specific anti-codon) for a particular amino acid; and 'wobble' base-pairing, i.e. permitting non-standard base-pairing at the 3rd anti-codon position. The record is from RNAcentral. Lineage: Bacteria; Pseudomonadati; Myxococcota; Myxococcia.
GCGGGGAUGGCGGAAUUGGUAGACGCGCCAGACUUAGGAUCUGGUGGGGUAACCCAUGGGGGUUCGAGUCCCUUUCCCCGCA